RNAcentral lists this unclassified non-coding RNA (1294 nucleotides) under Stegodyphus dumicola. RNAcentral describes it as "uncharacterized LOC118189802, transcript variant X1". The record is from RNAcentral. Lineage: Eukaryota; Metazoa; Arthropoda; Arachnida; Araneae; Eresidae.
UGCGUGCGGCCGAAGUCCUACUGUGUAAAUUUACUUAUAUAAUAGAUAAAAAUAAAAAAAAAGUAAUAAAUAAAAUAAAACACAAACUUAUAACACACAAAUAAAAAAUAUAAUUUGUGUGUGUAAAAUAAAAUCAACGUUAUCGUGAAGCUGUGUCUUCAUUCUGGUGUUUGAUCGACUUUUUAUCACGAAUUAUCAAGUUUUUCUAGGUAAUGGAACAUGCAGUGUAAAACCGAUAGUUGAGUUUCGUUCUUCAAGUGCAAAGUGUUAUGAUUUCAAGAAUUUCAGAAGUGUUCUCAUGUGAUCAUCUUUACGAGAAUAAAUUAAAAGUAAAGAUUUACCAGACGUCCUGAUUUGAAAAGGAUUGUCCAAGUCUCAAGGCAAGCAUUAUCAUCCAUAAAUAUUGCAUUGGUACCCAAUACAGCAAUAAAAGGACAUACAAGAGGAUGUAGAAUUUUGUUACAAUAUCAGAUGGCUGGGACAGAAACACCAGGAAUGACACAGAGGUCCGUCUGGCCCUUCGUUGCUAUCCCAGCCUGUAGAAGUUAGCCUCCUCUUCUAUAAUGGUACCUUUCAAUGAUGUUCGGCAUCCAAUAGCAUGUCCUUGUCACUGCCCAUCAGGUAUCAUUCUGGGUGUUAAAUCAAGACUAAUCCAUAAAGAGUAUGUGGCCCCACUGUUCUGGUGCUCAACUGCGAUUUUCACGGGCCCAAUUUAACUGCAUCCGUCAGGCAUACAGUCUACCUUCAUGGAGUUAAUGCAACAGAGUUUCAGGAUAUGGGCCAUACUGCAGCAGCAAAAAGAUGGGACACCAACUGUUAUGUGUUAGUGAUCUUGCACAUAGCAACAGAAAGCAAUCGUCUGCCAAUGUGGUAAUCCUCCAAUGUCCAGAUGCACUUCUUCUAGAGGGGUUUUUGAUCCUAUUGAUAAUGAUUCCAUAGCCUAUUGAUGAUACUACAAUACACAUUCAGCACUCUUGCAACAGCGGACUGUCAUGCACCAGCUUGCAAAAUCCCGACAGCCUUCCAACGCAUUUCAUCAUGCAAGUGGUAUCUAUGGCUCACACUUUCCACUUUGGUUAUCUUGGAUUACACGGAAAUAUCACUGCUUACAAACUGAUGCAGAGUUCCAUUACACUCUUUUUUAAGGCAUUGUGAUGUGACCAUGGGAUUAUAUUUUAUACUAAUUUUGGUUGCCCAUUUGUAUUUUGUAAUUCAACCUUUACCUAAUGUGUAAAUUGUAUGUUUUAAUCCCUUUUUCACAUUUGUACUUUUUCUUGUAGCAUUUGUUGCUUAU